UGGCAGGAAAACUCUGGCGUAGAAGAUAAGGGGGCUGAUGCAAUUGCUACUUCCUGCUGCUGAGAACACAUUUCCAGAUGCCUGGCCACGUGUGCCAGGAGCAACACUGCCGUCCGAACAGAGAGCUCAAGUUGAAAUCACUCCAACCAUCUGACAGUCACCCCGUGCCUGCCUGUCUAUCUGCCUGCCUUCCUUAACUUGCUUUUAUUUUUUUCAUUUUCUGCUUUUUUUUUUGAGACAGCAUCUCUCUACAUAGCCUCGACUUUCUUGGAACUCACUAUGUAGACUAGGCUGGCCUCGAACUCACAGAGAUCCAUUUGUCUCUACCUCCUGAGUGCUGGGAUUAAAUUCAAGGGAUGCUGUGGGCAACCAGAAACACAAAGCCAAGCAGUGAUGGCCUGGAGCCUGUCCCAAACUCCCCAAGGAAGAAACUUGGGGAGGUGUCUCAUGAUUUUCAAGAGGACCCGGAGACUGG
This is a long non-coding RNA of Peromyscus eremicus (cactus mouse), 475 nucleotides long. RefSeq lists it as uncharacterized. The record is from RefSeq and is a predicted model, not a curated record. The transcript has 3 exons. Lineage: Eukaryota; Metazoa; Chordata; Mammalia; Rodentia; Cricetidae.